AGGGAGGCUCGAAAGGGGGGGUAGCAAACAGGAUUAGAUACCCUGGUAGUCCACGCCGUAAACGAUGUCUACUAGUCGUUGGGUCCCUUGAGGACUUAGUGACGCAGCUAACGCAAUAAGUAGACCGCCUGGGGAGUACGGCCGCAAGGUUAAAACUCAAAUGAAUUGACGGGGGCCCGCACAAGCGGUGGAGCAUGUGGUUUAAUUCGAUGCAACGCGAAGAACCUUACCUGGUCUUGACAUAUCUAGAAUCCUGCAGAGAUGCGGGAGUGCCUUCGGGAAUUAGAAUACAGGUGCUGCAUGGCUGUCGUCAGCUCGUGUCGUGAGAUGUUGGGUUAAGUCCCGCAACGAGCGCAACCCUUGUCCUUAGUUACCAGCGGGUUAAGCCGGGAACUCUAAGGAUACUGCCAGUGACAAACUGGAGGAAGGCGGGGACGACGUCAAGUCAUCAUGGCCCUUACGACCAGGGCUACACACGUGCUACAAUGGUAGGUACAGAGGGCAGCUACACAGCGAUGUGAUGCGAAUCUCAAAAAGCCUAUCGUAGUCCAGAUUGGAGUCUGCAACUCGACUCCAUGAAGUAGGAAUCGCUAGUAAUCGCGGAUCAGAAUGCCGCGGUGAAUACGUUCCCGGGCCUUGUACACACCGCCCGUCACACCAUGGGAGUUGAUUGCACCAGAAGUGGAUAGCUUAACCUUCGGGGAGGCGUUCACCACGGUGUGGUUGAUGAAGGUAGUGAAGUAUUAGCGAGGCAGUACUACCA
RNAcentral lists this ribosomal RNA (763 nucleotides) under Psychrobacter sp. B-NPyG4. RNAcentral describes it as "bacterial SSU rRNA". It matches the Rfam family "Bacterial small subunit ribosomal RNA", at positions 745 to 1507 of the family's 1533-position model. Lineage: Bacteria; Pseudomonadati; Pseudomonadota; Gammaproteobacteria; Moraxellales; Moraxellaceae. The record is from RNAcentral.